CUGCAACGCAGUGCAGCGCACCUAGUAACCCGACGAGGUGCGCCCUACCUGACCCAGCACGUACAGAAAGACACUCGUCUGUGUGUUCUUCUUGUUACUCGCCCACCGUGUGUGCCAUGCUCCGCUUUUUUCGGGCACGCUUGGCGCCCACCACCACCGAUGCGGCGGCAAAGCUGCCUGCUGGGAAUCCGGUGAACAAGACGUGGUUCCGCCACAAUCUCAUUAUCCGGCGCAAGGGCUCGUACCGCUCUCGCUGGGGCAACGGCACGGAAGGGUACGGGGCCGGCGUCCCUCUUAGUGACCAGGUGAAAUUGCACUGUGUAGACAACACCAACUGCAAGCACGUCCGCCUCAUAGCCAAGGCCACGGCCGAGCGCUUCGCACACUGCCGCGUCUUUCCUGCCGUGGCGCACCGUGUGUCGGUGCAGCGCUUCAAGGGACGUGGCAGGGGCGGUGAGGUCUCGCGCCAUCGCGUCAAACCCGGCAACAUAUACUGGGUCUGCCUAUUCACGCGUCGCCAAACAAACACCCGCAUGAGUGGCUUGCAGACGAACUUUGACCGCAACACGUGUAUUAUCAUGAAUGAUCAACGCGUACCGUUAGGGACGCGGGUGAUGUACUGCGCUGGCCGUCACGUUAACCACAAGUAUCACCUGAAGGCCGUCGUGCUCGCGAACUUUUUCGUCUGAGCCGAUGCCGCGCGUUCUCUCUGUCUCUUGUGCGGACUGGCAGCGACCAGCACAAGCAUAGCGUCAUUUUUUUUCUUCGUGCGCGCGCAUAGCGUCGCCUCUCGCGUGCUCGUGAUUGCCCUGUAUGACGCUGCUUGCCACAUGGUUGUUGGUCCACGGUUGCGGGCCGUCUGGACGUGUUUUGUGUUUACAUGGUGCCAUAGGAGGAGUGUCCUCCAAGAUAAAAAGAAGUGCAGCCUGCGCAGAGGCGAAAGAGCGGUAUUUUUUUUUGUUUGCUACUCAGCGACCUCGCGUGCGUGCGCAUUUAUGUUUGUGUGUGCUCGCCAUCGUUUUUUAUCCAUGACGAUCGCGGUGCGCAACACUGCGUCAGCGGCGCUGUUUGUUGGAGGAUUACUCGCGGUCUUUGGCAGGGCUUGCCUUCUACUUGCCUUUCUUGCGCCGACCUCUCUCUCUCUCUGCUUUCUCACAUAGGAGGAAUGAUGCGCGCAUGAUGCUGCCUUCGUCGUCU
Molecule: unclassified non-coding RNA, 1197 nt
Filed under: Leishmania donovani
Lineage: Eukaryota; Euglenozoa; Kinetoplastea; Trypanosomatida; Trypanosomatidae
Description: gene:LdHU3.34.5870(CDS-product:ribosomal_protein_ L14_putative)
Source: RNAcentral